This 509-nucleotide long non-coding RNA is filed under the name Felis catus (domestic cat). RNAcentral describes it as "lncRNA (ENSFCAG00000052167.1)". The record is from RNAcentral. Lineage: Eukaryota; Metazoa; Chordata; Mammalia; Carnivora; Felidae.
AGGGGCGGGCUCUUCCGGUCGGCGCCGAGGCCGGCUGCUGGGCCGGGCGGGCCCCGGUCGCCCGGCGCGGGAAUACUGGCGCGCGGCGGGGCCCGGCGCGGGGGACGUCGUUCCCGGGCGCCUUGUGGCGGGCGCGUUCGCCCCGUCCUCCAGCCGGGGAUCCCGGGUUCUCUGGGCUCCCAGGUGCCGCGGGGAGGAGGGCGAGGACCAGCUCCGUGCGGAUCGAGCCCAGAUGAGCUGCCUUUACCUGCGAUUCAGGCUCCCACCUGAUGCUCAGAACAGCCUCCCAGAAGCUGCCUCCAGUAGAGCCUUUGGGGCCACAUAGGCCUGAAUCCCAAUCAAGUCACAGGGGUUGGUGGAGCCUCUCUCUGGUGCAGACGUUCCGUUCCAGAGCCUUCGGUACAAGCUCGGACAGAUGAGAAGCUGUGUGUAAAGAAGGAGCAUUCUGCAGAAGUGGAGAAUCCGGCCCGGCCUUCCCCAGUGGCCCUUCCCGGCUUCCCGUGGCCCCU